This 804-nucleotide ribosomal RNA is filed under the name Clostridioides difficile. RNAcentral's name for it is "partial 23S ribosomal RNA". It matches the Rfam family "Bacterial large subunit ribosomal RNA", at positions 2122 to 2925 of the family's 2925-position model. Lineage: Bacteria; Bacillati; Bacillota; Clostridia; Peptostreptococcales; Peptostreptococcaceae. The record is from RNAcentral.
UCUUGGUACUACAUGUACAGGAUAGGUGGGAGGCUUUGAAACCAGGACGCCAGUUUUGGCGGAGCCAUCCUUGGGAUACCACCCUUGUAGUACUGGGACUCUAACCAUAGGCCAUGAAUCUGGUCUUGGGACACUGUCAGGUGGGCAGUUUGACUGGGGCGGUCGCCUCCCAAAAGGUAACGGAGGCGCUCAAAGGUUCUCUCAGUACGGUCGGAAAUCGUACGUAGAGUGUAAAGGCAAAAGAGAGCUUGAUUGCAAGACAUACAGGUCGAGCAAGGAUGAAAAUCGGACUUAGUGAUCCGGUGGUUCUGCGUGGAAGGGCCAUCGCUCAACGGAUAAAAGCUACCCUGGGGAUAACAGGCUUAUCUCCCCCAAGAGUCCACAUCGACGGGGAGGUUUGGCACCUCGAUGUCGGCUCAUCACAUCCUGGGGCUGUAGUAGGUCCCAAGGGUUGGGCUGUUCGCCCAUUAAAGUGGUACGCGAGCUGGGUUCAGAACGUCGUGAGACAGUUCGGUCCCUAUCCGUCGCAGGCGUAGGAAAUUUGAGAAGACCUGUCCUUAGUACGAGAGGACCGGGAUGGACGUACCUCUGGUGUACCAGUUGUCCUGCCAAGGGCAUGGCUGGGUAGCUAUGUACGGAAUGGAUAAGCGCUGAAAGCAUCUAAGCGCGAAGCCAACUUCAAGAUAAGAUUUCCCACCGCAAGGGUAAGACCCCAGAAAGACUAUCUGGUUGAUAGGUCGAAGGUGUAAGUGCAGCAAUGUAUUUAGCUUAUCGAUACUAAUAGGUCGAGGACUUGACCAAUAU